Molecule: ribosomal RNA, 486 nt
Filed under: uncultured bacterium
Lineage: Bacteria
Description: partial 16S ribosomal RNA
Rfam family: Bacterial small subunit ribosomal RNA
Source: RNAcentral
GAUGAACGCUAGCGGCAGGCUUAACACAUGCAAGUCGAGGGGCAGCGCGGGAUAGCAAUAUCCUGGCGGCGACCGGCGGAAGGGUGCGUAACGCGUGAGCGACAUGCCCGUUGCCCGGGGACAACCGGUGGAAACGCCGACUAAUCCCCGAUGGGAUAUUGUGCCGCAUGGCACGAUAUUGAAAGUUACGGCGGCGACGGAUUGGCUCGCGUCCGAUUAGCUUGUUGGCGGGGUAACGGCCCACCAAGGCUGCGAUCGGUAGGGGUUCUGAGAGGAAGGCCCCCAAAAAUGGGACUGAGACACGGCCCAUACUACUACGGGAGGCAGCAGGGAGGAAUAUUGGUCAAUGGGCGGAAGCCUGAACCAGCCAUGCCGCGUGCGGGAAGGAGGCCCUAUGGGCUGUGAACCGCUUUUGCCUGGGGGCAAUAAGGGCGUCGCGCACGUCAGAUGAGAGUACCAGGCGAAUAAGCAUCGGCUAACUCCGUG